This 253-nucleotide ribosomal RNA is filed under the name uncultured bacterium. Its description in RNAcentral is "partial 16S ribosomal RNA". It matches the Rfam family "Bacterial small subunit ribosomal RNA", at positions 524 to 776 of the family's 1533-position model. The record is from RNAcentral.
GACAUAAGGUGCGAGCGUUAUCCGGAAUCACUGGGCGUAAAGGGCAUCUAGGCGGUUUAUUAAGUCAGGGGUGAAAAGCCGAAGCUCAACUUUGGUCUUGCCUUUGAAACUGAUAGACUAGAAUACGGGAUAGGAGGGCGGAACUACAAGUGUAGAGGUGAAAUUCGUAGAUAUUUGUAGGAAUGCCGAUGACGAAGGUAGCUCUCUGGACCGAUUUUGACGCUGAAGUGCGAAAGCUAGGGUAGCAAACAGG